GUGAACGCUGGCGGUAGGCCUAACACAUGCAAGUCGAACGGCAGCACAGUAAGCGCUUGCUCUUACGGGUGGCGAGUGGCGGACGGGUGAGGAAUACAUCGGAAUCUACUUUUUCGUGGGGGAUAACGUAGGGAAACUUACGCUAAUACCGCAUACGACCUACGGGUGAAAGCAGGGGAUCUUCGGACCUUGCGCGAUUGAAUGAGCCGAUGUCGGAUUAGCUAGUUGGCGGGGUAAAGGCCCACCAAGGCGACGAUCCGUAGCUGGUCUGAGAGGAUGAUCAGCCACACUGGAACUGAGACACGGUCCAGACGCCUACGGGAGGCAGCAGUGGGGAAUAUUGGACAAUGGGCGCAAGCCUGAUCCAGCCAUACCGCGUGGGUGAAGAAGGCCUUCGGGUUGUAAAGCCCUUUUGUUGGGAAAGAAAAGCAGCAGGUUAAUACCCCGCUGUUCUGACGGUACCCAAAGAAUAAGCACCGGCUAACUUCGU
RNAcentral lists this ribosomal RNA (490 nucleotides) under uncultured bacterium. Its description in RNAcentral is "partial 16S ribosomal RNA". It matches the Rfam family "Bacterial small subunit ribosomal RNA", at positions 29 to 506 of the family's 1533-position model. The record is from RNAcentral.